This 3004-nucleotide ribosomal RNA is filed under the name Salmonella enterica. RNAcentral's name for it is "bacterial LSU rRNA". It matches the Rfam family "Bacterial large subunit ribosomal RNA". The record is from RNAcentral. Lineage: Bacteria; Pseudomonadati; Pseudomonadota; Gammaproteobacteria; Enterobacterales; Enterobacteriaceae.
UUAAGCGACUAAGCGUACACGGUGGAUGCCCUGGCAGUCAGAGGCGAUGAAGGGCGUGCUAAUCUGCGAUAAGCGCCGGUAAGGUGAUAUGAACCGUUAUAACCGGCGAUACCCGAAUGGGGAAACCCAGUGUGAUUCGUCACACUAUCAUUAACUGAAUCCAUAGGUUAAUGAGGCGAACCGGGGGAACUGAAACAUCUAAGUACCCCGAGGAAAAGAAAUCAACCGAGAUUCCCCCAGUAGCGGCGAGCGAACGGGGAGGAGCCCAGAGCCUGAAUCAGCAUGUGUGUUAGUGGAAGCGUCUGGAAAGGCGCGCGAUACAGGGUGACAGCCCCGUACACAAAAGCGCAUGUGCUGUGAGCUCGAUGAGUAGGGCGGGACACGUGGUAUCCUGUCUGAAUAUGGGGGGACCAUCCUCCAAGGCUAAAUACUCCUGACUGACCGAUAGUGAACCAGUACCGUGAGGGAAAGGCGAAAAGAACCCCGGCGAGGGGAGUGAAAAAGAACCUGAAACCGUGUACGUACAAGCAGUGGGAGCCCCACCACUAAGCCAGUGGUGAACUCCACAUACGCAUCCUUUGCUGAGGAUACGGUUAACGGAGCGCAAGCGACGUUCAACCGCAAAAGAAGCAGAGGGGGCUUAGUGGUGGGGUGACUGCGUACCUUUUGUAUAAUGGGUCAGCGACUUAUAUUCUGUAGCAAGGUUAACCGAAUAGGGGAGCCGGAGGGAAACCGAGUCUUAAUUGGGCGUUAAGUUGCAGGGUAUAGACCCGAAACCCGGUGAUCUAGCCAUGGGCAGGUUGAAGGUUGGGUAACACUAACUGGAGGACCGAACCGACUAAUGUUGAAAAAUUAGCGGAUGACCUGUGGCUGGGGGUGAAAGGCCAAUCAAACCGGGAGAUAGCUGGUUCUCCCCGAAAGCUAUUUAGGUAGCGCCUCGUGAAUUCAUCUCCGGGGGUAGAGCACUGUUUCGGCUAGGGGGCCAUCCCGGCUUACCAACCCGAUGCAAACUGCGAAUACCGGAGAAUGUUAUCACGGGAGACACACGGCGGGUGCUAACGUCCGUCGUGAAGAGGGAAACAACCCAGACCGCCAGCUAAGGUCCCAAAGUCAUGGUUAAGUGGGAAACGAUGUGGGAAGGCCCAGACAGCCAGGAUGUUGGCUUAGAAGCAGCCAUCAUUUAAAGAAAGCGUAAUAGCUCACUGGUCGAGUCGGCCUGCGCGGAAGAUGUAACGGGGCUAAACCAUGCACCGAAGCUGCGGCAGCGACACUAUGUGUUGUUGGGUAGGGGAGCGUUCUGUAAGCCUGCGAAGGUGACCUGUGAGGGUUGCUGGAGGUAUCAGAAGUGCGAAUGCUGACAUAAGUAACGAUAAAGCGGGUGAAAAGCCCGCUCGCCGGAAGACCAAGGGUUCCUGUCCAACGUUAAUCGGGGCAGGGUGAGUCGACCCCUAAGGCGAGGCCGAAAGGCGUAGUCGAUGGGAAACGGGUUAAUAUUCCCGUACUUGGUGUUACUGCGAAGGGGGGACGGAGAAGGCUAUGUUGGUCGGGCGACGGUUGUCCCGGUUUAAGCGUGUAGGUGUGUGUUCCAGGUAAAUCCGGUUCACUUUAACACUGAGGCGUGAUGACGAGGCACUACGGUGCUGAAGCAACAAAUGCCCUGCUUCCAGGAAAAGCCUCUAAGCAUCAGGUAACAUCAAAUCGUACCCCAAACCGACACAGGUGGUCAGGUAGAGAAUACCAAGGCGCUUGAGAGAACUCGGGUGAAGGAACUAGGCAAAAUGGUGCCGUAACUUCGGGAGAAGGCACGCUGACAUGUAGGUGAAGUGAUUUACUCAUGGAGCUGAAGUCAGUCGAAGAUACCAGCUGGCUGCAACUGUUUAUUAAAAACACAGCACUGUGCAAACACGAAAGUGGACGUAUACGGUGUGACGCCUGCCCGGUGCCGGAAGGUUAAUUGAUGGGGUCAGCGCAAGCGAAGCUCCUGAUCGAAGCCCCGGUAAACGGCGGCCGUAACUAUAACGGUCCUAAGGUAGCGAAAUUCCUUGUCGGGUAAGUUCCGACCUGCACGAAUGGCGUAAUGAUGGCCAGGCUGUCUCCACCCGAGACUCAGUGAAAUUGAACUCGCUGUGAAGAUGCAGUGUACCCGCGGCAAGACGGAAAGACCCCGUGAACCUUUACUAUAGCUUGACACUGAACAUUGAGCCUUGAUGUGUAGGAUAGGUGGGAGGCUUUGAAGUGUGGACGCCAGUCUGCAUGGAGCCGACCUUGAAAUACCACCCUUUAAUGUUUGAUGUUCUAACGUGGACCCGUGAUCCGGGUUGCGGACAGUGUCUGGUGGGUAGUUUGACUGGGGCGGUCUCCUCCUAAAGAGUAACGGAGGAGCACGAAGGUUGGCUAAUCCUGGUCGGACAUCAGGAGGUUAGUGCAAUGGCAUAAGCCAGCUUGACUGCGAGCGUGACGGCGCGAGCAGGUGCGAAAGCAGGUCAUAGUGAUCCGGUGGUUCUGAAUGGAAGGGCCAUCGCUCAACGGAUAAAAGGUACUCCGGGGAUAACAGGCUGAUACCGCCCAAGAGUUCAUAUCGACGGCGGUGUUUGGCACCUCGAUGUCGGCUCAUCACAUCCUGGGGCUGAAGUAGGUCCCAAGGGUAUGGCUGUUCGCCAUUUAAAGUGGUACGCGAGCUGGGUUUAGAACGUCGUGAGACAGUUCGGUCCCUAUCUGCCGUGGGCGCUGGAGAACUGAGGGGGGCUGCUCCUAGUACGAGAGGACCGGAGUGGACGCAUCACUGGUGUUCGGGUUGUCAUGCCAAUGGCACUGCCCGGUAGCUAAAUGCGGAAGAGAUAAGUGCUGAAAGCAUCUAAGCACGAAACUUGCCCCGAGAUGAGUUCUCCCUGAGACUUUAGGUCUCCUGAAGGAACGUUGAAGACGACGACGUUGAUAGGCCGGGUGUGUAAGCGCAGCGAUGCGUUGAGCUAACCGGUACUAAUGAACCGUGAGGCUUAACCUU